This 254-nucleotide ribosomal RNA is filed under the name uncultured bacterium. Its description in RNAcentral is "partial 16S ribosomal RNA". It matches the Rfam family "Bacterial small subunit ribosomal RNA", at positions 524 to 776 of the family's 1533-position model. The record is from RNAcentral.
UACGUAGGGACCAAGCGUUGUUCGGAUUUACUGGGCGUAAAGGGCGCGUAGGCGGCAAUUCAAGUCAUCUGUGAAAUCUCCGGGCUUAACCCGGAAUGGUCAGGUGAUACUGCUUUGCUAGAGUGCAGAAGGGGCAAUCGGAAUUCUUGGUGUAGCGGUGAAAUGCGUAGAUAUCAAGAGGAACACCUGAGGUGAAGACGGGUUGCUGGGCUGACACUGACGCUGACAGCGCGAAAGCUAGGGGAGCAAACGGG